UCCCUGGUUGUCUAGUGGUUAGGAUUUGGUGCCUUCACUGCUUUGGCCUGGGUUCAAUUCCUGGUCAGGGAA
Molecule: transfer RNA, 72 nt
Filed under: Loxodonta africana (African savanna elephant)
Lineage: Eukaryota; Metazoa; Chordata; Mammalia; Proboscidea; Elephantidae
Rfam family: tRNA
About the family: Transfer RNA (tRNA) molecules are approximately 80 nucleotides in length. Their secondary structure includes four short double-helical elements and three loops (D, anti-codon, and T loops).
Source: Rfam by way of RNAcentral